Molecule: long non-coding RNA, 339 nt
Organism: Varanus komodoensis (Komodo dragon)
Lineage: Eukaryota; Metazoa; Chordata; Lepidosauria; Squamata; Varanidae
Exons: 3
Source: RefSeq, a predicted model, not a curated record
AGAAGAGAGGAGAAAUGGAGACCUACCUGGAGCAAAGUGACAAGGCAAAAACGCCCAUCCUAGGGUUGGGUACAUGGCAGUCUCCUUUAGGGAAAGCGGGAGAGGCCGUGAGACUGGCGAUUGCUAUCGGAUACCGACACUUUGAUUGUGCCCAUGUCUACGAGAAUGAAGAGGAGAUCGGAGAUGCAAUCCAGAAAAAGAUACGGGAACAGAGUGUGGCAUGAGAACAUCUCUUUAUAGUCAGUAAACUCUGGUGCAUGUUUCAUGAGAAAUCCUUGGUGAAGGGAGCAUGUGAAAGAACCCUGGCAUCUCUAAAGGUGGAUUAUUUGGAUCUCUACC